This 465-nucleotide ribosomal RNA is filed under the name uncultured bacterium. RNAcentral describes it as "partial 16S ribosomal RNA". It matches the Rfam family "Bacterial small subunit ribosomal RNA", at positions 338 to 795 of the family's 1533-position model. The record is from RNAcentral.
CCUACGGGGGGCAGCAGUAGGGAAUUUUCGUCAAUGGGCGCAAGCCUGAACGAGCAAUGCCGCGUGAACGAGGAAGGUCUUCGGAUCGUAAAGUUCUGUUGAAGGGGAAAAAGAGCGGAGAGAGGAAAUGAACUCCGAUUGAUAUUACCCUUCGAGGAAGUCACGGCUAACUACGUGCCAGCAGCCGCGGUAAUACGUAGGUGGCGAGCGUUAUCCGGAAUGAUUGGGCGUAAAUGGUGCGUAGGCGGCCUGCUAAGUCUGGAGUGAAAGGUACCGGCUCAACCGGGACAGGCUCUGGAAACUGGCGGGCUAGAGAGGAGGAGAGGGCGGUGGAAGUCCAUGUGGAGCGGUAAAAUGCGUAGAUAUAUGGAAGGACACCAGUGGCGAAGGCGGCCGCCUGGCCUGUUGACUGACGCUGAGGCACGAAAGCGUGGGGAGCAAAUAGGAUUAGAUACCCUAGUAGUC